This 2044-nucleotide ribosomal RNA is filed under the name human gut metagenome. Its description in RNAcentral is "bacterial LSU rRNA". It matches the Rfam family "Bacterial large subunit ribosomal RNA", at positions 508 to 2573 of the family's 2925-position model. The record is from RNAcentral.
GGAAAGGUGAAAAGAACCCCGAACAGGGGAGUGAAAUAGAACCUGAAACCAUACGCUUACAACCGGUCGGAGCAGCUUCGUGCUGUGACGGCGUGCCUAUUGAAUAAUGAGCCUACGAGUUACUAAUCACUGGCGAGGUUAAGUGCACGGAUGCACGGAGCCGAAGCGAAAGCGAGUCUUAAUAGGGCGUUUAGUCAGUGGUUGUAGACGCGAAACCUUGCGAUCUACCCUUGAGCAGGUUGAAGGUUGGGUAAAACCAACUGGAGGACCGAACGAAUAAGCGUUGAAAAGCUUCUCGAUGACUUGAGGGUAGGGGUGAAAGGCUAAUCAAGCUGGGAAAUAGCUCGUACUCCCCGAAAUGCCUUUAGGGGCAGCGUUGUAAUAAAGAGUCUACUGGAGGUAGAGCUACUGAUUGGAUGCGGGGGCUUCACCGCCUACCAAAUCCUGACAAACUCCGAAUGCCAGUAGUAUGAUUUACAGCAGUGAGCGACCGGGUGCUAAUGUCCGGUCACAAAAGAGGAACAACUCAGACCAGCAACUAAGGUCCCCAAGAGUAUACUAAGUUGAUCUAACGAUGUUUUGUUGCAGAGACAGCUAGGAUGUUAGCUUGGAAGCAGCUAUUCAUUCAAAGAGUGCGUAACAGCUCACUAGUCGAGCGACAGAGCGUGGAUAAUAAACGGGCAUCAAGCAUAUCACCGAAGUUCUGGGCGCGAGAGCGCGGUAGGGGAGCAUUCCAUUCAGCGUCGAAGCAGUUUCGUGAGGAAUUGUGGAGCGUAUGGAAAAGCAAAUGUAGGCAUGAGUAACGAUAAUGCGGGAGAGUAACCCGCACACCGCAAGACCAAGGUUUCCUGAUCAACGCUAAUCGGAUCAGGGUUAGUCGGGUCCUAAGGGUAAGCCGAACGGCGAUCUCGAUGGAUAAUCGGUUAAUAUUCCGAUACUAACAUAUACCUCGAUGGAGAGACGAAGGAACGUAAGUGCCGCCACCUGACGGAAUAGGUGGUUAAAGGAUUUAGGUAUAGGGACGGAUUAAGAGUCGGUUCCUGCUGAAUUCCGACAGUACAGAGAGCCUACGGGCAAUUUGAUAGUGCACCCAAGUCGACUUCCGAGAAAAUCUUCUAAGGUUAGGUAUAUGUCACCCGUACCGUAAACCGACACAGGUGGUCGAGGAGAGUAUCCUAAGGUGCUCGAGUGAAUCACGGUUAAGGAACUAGGCAAAUUAACCCCGUAACUUCGGGAAAAGGGGUCCCUAUGAAAGUAGGGCGCAGCGAAGAGGUCCAGGCGACUGUUUAUCAAAAACACAGGGCUCUGCAAAUUCGAAAGAAGACGUAUAGGGCCUGACACCUGCCCGGUGCUGGAAGGUUAAGAGGGGAUGUCAUCGCAAGAGAAGCAUUGAAUCGAAGCCCCAGUAAACGGCGGCCGUAACUAUAACGGUCCUAAGGUAGCGAAAUUCCUUGUCGGGUAAGUUCCGACCUGCACGAAUGGUGUAACGAUCUGGACACUGUCUCAACCGUGAGCUCGGUGAAAUUGUAGUCCCGGUGAUGAUGCCGGGUACCCGCAACGGGACGAAAAGACCCCGUGAACCUUUACUAUAGCUUAACGCUGAAUUUGGGUACACAAUGUGUAGGAUAGGCCGGAGGCUUUGAAGCGGGCACGCCAGUGUUCGUGGAGCCGACGUUGAAAUACGGCCCUUUGUGUAUUUGAGUUCUAACCCUGCGAAGGGGACACCGUUUGGUGGGUAGUUUGACUGGGGUGGUCGCCUCCAAAAGCGUAACGGAGGCUUCCCAAGGUACCCUCAGCACGAAUGGUAACCGUGCGCGGAGUGCAAUAGCAUAAGGGUGCUUGACUGUGAGACAUACAAGUCGACCAGGUACGAAAGUAGGGUAUAGUGAUCCGGUGGUUCUGCGUGGACUGGCCAUCGCUCAAAGGAUAAAAGGUACUCCGGGGAUAACAGGCUGAUCGCCGCCAAGAGCUCAUAUCGACGCGGCGGUUUGGCACCUCGAUGUCGGCUCGUCACAUCCUGGGGCUGGAGAAGGUCCCAAGGGUU